CAAAGCCGUCCUGGAUUCGGAUCUCUUAGGCCAUCAAGUGUUGUUGAUAUUGACAUUCAACGACCUGCAUUGAGACCUCUUAGACCCAGUAGUGUUGUUGACAUUGACAUUCAAAAUCGGCCUGGAUGGGGAUCUCUUAGGCCCUCGAGUGUUGUCGACAUUGACGUUCAGCGGCCUACUUUGGGACCAAUUAGGCCCGCGUCUGUUGUUGAUAUUGUCAACAUCCAACGCCCAGUAUCAGAAUCCAUUGCAAUUAGUGAAGCCACCAGUUCUGCUAACAUUUUGGGAGCUGGGUCAUGGAAUAGCUGGCUUCCAAGGAACCCUUGGCUGUCACCACUCCGCCCAAGACCAGCUAGAUUACAAUCAUGGGAAUCAGUUGCUCCACGUAAUGCUCUCGUAACUCCAGUUAGCCCAUUUUGGAACUCGCUAUCCCAAGGUUAUGGUAUUAGUAGACCACUUGGAUUAAGUCCCUUGGAUGGAGUGUCCAGAGCAUCUCAAAGGUCUGUAGGAGUAGAUGCAGUGAUUGGACAACCAAGUGAAAAGAUUGUGAUUAUAAAUAAUGGUCUAAAUAGAGCAGGAUCGAUUGUUUCACCAAGUUACCCUGUCUACAGACCACGUAG
This is a long non-coding RNA of Achroia grisella, 620 nucleotides long. RefSeq lists it as uncharacterized. Lineage: Eukaryota; Metazoa; Arthropoda; Insecta; Lepidoptera; Pyralidae. The transcript is spliced from 6 exons. The record is from RefSeq and is a predicted model, not a curated record.